RNAcentral lists this ribosomal RNA (430 nucleotides) under uncultured archaeon. RNAcentral describes it as "bacterial SSU rRNA". It matches the Rfam family "Archaeal small subunit ribosomal RNA", at positions 474 to 903 of the family's 1478-position model. The record is from RNAcentral.
UACCAGCCCCCUGAGUGGUAAGGAUGAUUAUUUGGCCUAAAGCGUCCGUAGCCUGCUCAAUAAGUCCCUCGUUAAAUCUAACGAUUCAAUCGUUAGCCUGCGGGGGAUACUGUUGGGCUAGAGGACGGGAGAGGUCGACGGUAGUUCUGGGGGUAGGGGUGAAAUCCAAUAAUCCCAGGACGACCACCAGUGGCGAAGGCGGUCGACUAGAACGUGCCUGACGGUGAUGGACGAAAGCUGGGGUAGCGAACCGGAUUAGACACCCAGGUAGUCCCAGCUGUAAACGAUGCGGGCUAGGUGUUGGGGUAGCCAAGAGCUGCUCCAGUGCCGCAGAGAAGUCGUUAAGCCCGCCGCAUGGGAAGUACGAUCGCAAGAUUGAAACUUAAAGGAAUUGGCGGGGGAGCACCACAAGGGGUGAAGGCUGCGGUUC